CCUACGGGAGGCAGCAGUGAGGAAUAUUGGUCAAUGGACGAGAGUCUGAACCAGCCAAGUAGCGUGAAGGAUGACUGCCCUAUGGGUUGUAAACUUCUUUUAUAUGGGAAUAAAACGUUCCACGUGUGGGAUUUUGUAUGUACCAUAUGAAUAAGGAUCGGCUACCUCCGUGCCAGCAGCCGCGGUAAUACGGAGGAUCCGAGCGUUAUCCGGAUUUAUUGGGUUUAAAGGGAGCGUAGGUGGAUUGUUAAGUCAGUUGUGAAAGUUUGCGGCUCAACCGUAAAAUUGCAGUUGAAACUGGCAGUCUUGAGUACAGUAGAGGUGGGCGGAAUUCGUGGUGUAGCGGUGAAAUGCUUAGAUAUCACGAAGAACUCCGAUUGCGAAGGCAGUUCACUGGACUGCAACUGACACUGAGGCUCGAAAGUGUGGGUAUCAAACAGGAUUAGAUACCCUUGUAGUC
RNAcentral lists this ribosomal RNA (460 nucleotides) under uncultured bacterium. RNAcentral's name for it is "partial 16S ribosomal RNA". It matches the Rfam family "Bacterial small subunit ribosomal RNA", at positions 338 to 795 of the family's 1533-position model. The record is from RNAcentral.